Molecule: small RNA, 66 nt
Filed under: unclassified sequences
Description: NAD+-I sequence
Rfam family: nadA riboswitch
Source: Rfam by way of RNAcentral
GGUUGCAACAUCCCCGUGGGUUGGGUGAGGACGGAAGUGCGUCUUCACAGUGAAUCCACUGCAACC